UGAAGGCGUGUGCUAUACAUGCAGGUCGAGCGGAUUGACAGAGGUGCUUGCACCUCUCGAUUUUAGCGGCGGACGGGUGAGUAACACGUGGGUAACCUACCUAUAAGACUGGGAUAACUUCGGGAAACCGGAGCUAAUACCGGAUAAUAUUUAGCUUCGCAUGAAGCAAUAGUGAAAGACGGUUCUGCUGUCACUUAUAGAUGGACCUGCGGUGUAUUAGCUAGUUGGUGAGGUAACGGCUCACCAAGGCAACGAUACAUAGCCGACCUGAGAGGGUGAUCGGCCACACUGGGACUGAGACACGGCCCAGACUCCUACGGGAGGCAGCAGUAGGGAAUCUUCCGCAAUGGACGAAAGUCUGACGGAGCAACGCCGCGUGAGUGAAGAAGGUUUUCGGAUCGUAAAACUCUGUUGUAAGGGAAGAACAAGUACGUUAGUAACUGAACGUACCUUGACGGUACCUUACCAGAAAGCCACGGCUAACUACGUGCCAGCAGCCGCGGUAAUACGUAGGUGGCAAGCGUUAUCCGGAAUUAUUGGGCGUAAAGCGCGCGUAGGCGGUCUCUUAAGUCUGAUGUGAAAGCCCCCGGCUCAACCGGGGAGGGUCAUUGGAAACUGGGAGACUUGAGUACAGAAGAGGAGAGUGGAAUUCCAUGUGUAGCGGUGAAAUGCGCAGAGAUAUGGAGGAACACCAGUGGCGAAGGCGGCUCUCUGGUCUGUAACUGACGCUGAGGUGCGAAAGCGUGGGGAUCAAACAGGAUUAGAUACCCUGGUAGUCCACGCCGUAAACGAUGAGUGCUAAGUGUUGGGGGGUUUCCGCCCCUCAGUGCUGCAGCUAACGCAUUAAGCACUCCGCCUGGGGAGUACGGUCGCAAGACUGAAACUCAAAGGAAUUGAAGGGGACCCGCACAAGCGGUGGAGCAUGUGGUUUAAUUUGAAGCAACGCGAAGAACCUUACCAAAUCUUGACAUCCUUUGACACUCUAGAGAUAGAGCUUCCCCCUUCGGGGGACAAAGUGACAGGUGGGUG
RNAcentral lists this ribosomal RNA (1029 nucleotides) under Macrococcus sp. R314A3. RNAcentral describes it as "bacterial SSU rRNA". It matches the Rfam family "Bacterial small subunit ribosomal RNA", at positions 37 to 1044 of the family's 1533-position model. The record is from RNAcentral. Lineage: Bacteria; Bacillati; Bacillota; Bacilli; Caryophanales; Staphylococcaceae.